GUGGCUGUAGCUCAGUCGGUAGAGCACAGGAUUGUGAUUCCUGAGGUCGCGGGUUCAAUCCCCGUCAGCCACCCCA
RNAcentral lists this transfer RNA (76 nucleotides) under Gammaproteobacteria bacterium. RNAcentral describes it as "tRNA-His". It matches the Rfam family "tRNA". Rfam says of the family: Transfer RNA (tRNA) molecules are approximately 80 nucleotides in length. Their secondary structure includes four short double-helical elements and three loops (D, anti-codon, and T loops). RNAcentral also lists the same sequence under 1 other name. Lineage: Bacteria; Pseudomonadati; Pseudomonadota; Gammaproteobacteria. The record is from RNAcentral.